This 253-nucleotide ribosomal RNA is filed under the name uncultured bacterium. RNAcentral describes it as "partial 16S ribosomal RNA". It matches the Rfam family "Bacterial small subunit ribosomal RNA", at positions 524 to 776 of the family's 1533-position model. The record is from RNAcentral.
UACGGAGGGUGCAAGCGUUAUCCGGAUUUAUUGGGUUUAAAGGGUGCGUAGGCGGCUUUAUAAGUCUGGGGUUAAAGGCGGCAGCUUAACUGUACGCAUGCCCUGGAAACUGUGAAGCUUGAGUGACUUGGAGGUAGCUAGAAUUCCCUGUGUAGCGGUGAAAUGCAUAGAUACGGGGAGGAAUACCGAUUGCGAAGGCAUGUUACUACGAGUAAACUGACGCUGAUGCACGAAAGCGUGGGGAUCAAACAGG